CCUACGGGAGGCAGCAGUGGGGAAUCUUGCACAAUGGAGGAAACUCUGAUGCAGCGAUGCCGCGUGAGUGAAGAAGGCCUUUGGGUUGUAAAGCUCUUUUGUAGGGGAAGAUAAUGACUGUACCCUAAGAAUAAGGUCCGGCUAACUUCGUGCCAGCAGCCGCGGUAAUACGAAGGGACCUAGCGUAGUUCGGAAUUACUGGGCGUAAAGCGCGCGUAGGCCGUUGAGUUAGUUAAUUGUGAAAUCCCAAAGCUUAACUUUGGAACUGCAAUUAAAACUGCUCGACUAGAGUUUGAUAGAGGAAAGCGGAAUACAUAGUGUAGAGGUGAAAUUCGUAGAUAUUAUGUAGAACACCAGUUGCGAAGGCGGCUUUCUGGAUCAACACUGACGCUGAGGCGCGAAAGUAUGGGUAGCAAAGAGGAUUAGAUACCCUCGUAGUCCAUACCAUAAACGAUGAUUGCUAGAUGUUGGAAAUUUAUUUUCAGUAUCGCAGCUAACGCAUUAAGCAAUCCGCCUGGGGAGUACGACCGCAAGGUUUAAAACNGAAAGAUGAACGGNUGAGAGUGCGAGACGACACGAGGAGAGG
Molecule: ribosomal RNA, 586 nt
Filed under: uncultured bacterium
Lineage: Bacteria
Description: bacterial SSU rRNA
Rfam family: Bacterial small subunit ribosomal RNA
Source: RNAcentral